Triticum dicoccoides is the source of this 1219-nucleotide long non-coding RNA. RefSeq lists it as uncharacterized. The transcript is spliced from 5 exons. The record is from RefSeq and is a predicted model, not a curated record. NCBI's taxonomy places the organism in Eukaryota, Viridiplantae, Streptophyta, Magnoliopsida, Poales, Poaceae.
UAUCUGCGCCCCCUCCUUCCAAAUAUAUCACACAGCCUAAAAUACCAUUUUUUUUUUCUCCCAGCCACAUCUCUCCCCUGAUUCCUCUAUGUCUCACACCACAGCGCCGCCGCCGCCGCCAACUCCGAUUCCGGGAGGCUCCGGUGGACUCCCAACCCACUGCUCACGGAUCUCCCCGACUCCCUCUAUGUUCUCCCCCGAUACUUCGCACCCGUCCACCGCGCCCCUGCACGCACGCCACGCAACAACCCUAGUCGCCAAGCGUCGCCGGCGUGGCUCCGGUAGCUCUGGUUUAUCAGCCAACUACCACUGCAUCACCUCACGUGCAGCAGCUGGCUCGGGAUUGACAUUGUUUUCUUAUAAAGGAGAUCAACUUGGUUCAAAUUGGAGUGAGAUAGUGUAUCAGCGAUAUAUCAUAUGCGAUCAUGUAUGUCACCGGAGAAGACAGCAUGUCAGUGCAAUUAUGGUUCCAUGAUACUAGCAUGAUUUUUUUAAAUGGAGAAUACCCUUCUCAAUAGACUGAAUCGUUAUUUAUUUGGUGUCACAUGAAUACAUACAGUAUACUAAAUAAACAAGUCCCACUUUUAUCCGUUCGUCCCAAUAUUUGUGUUUAUUCUAUAACCCUUUGUUCCAUCUACACUCGCAGGUUCUGACAUUAUCUUUUACUAAGUGUGUGCUUCUGCUGUUUUUUAACAGAUUUAUCUACUACACUAGUGCAUUGCAAUAAAGAGAAAUCCAUGAAUAUGCAGAAGAAGCCUUGGGAAUUAUUUAAGUCAGUUGUUUAUAGCAUGAUGUUUCCAAAUAGUAGAAGGAUGCAUGAUUGGUCAGCACACAAACUCUUGGCCAGGUUACAGAGACUCGAUUGUUCCAAGUUGAUGUUGUUGGCGCUAAAACAUAGAACACCACUAGUGCCAAGGUGGAUUUACUAGGAGAUUGCAAUAUUGGAUGAUGCAUGGUUCAGAUGUUGAUUGCAAGGUCAAGAAUAGGGGUGCUACUAGAUAGUUUCACAUUGUGUCUUUUUCUAGUGCCAAUGUUUCAAUCAUUAUGUUUCUGAUAUUUUCUGUGUCAAUGUUUCGAUUAUUAUGUUUCAGAAUGGCUGAGACGUUGGUUGCAAGGUCAAGAAUAGGAUUAGUACUAGUUUCAAAUCUUGUAAUCUUUGUAUCAUGUCCUUUGUAAUACAAACAAGUUGAUUUAAUACAUGAGAAAUUUCUUUUUAUUA